This 446-nucleotide ribosomal RNA is filed under the name uncultured bacterium. RNAcentral describes it as "bacterial SSU rRNA". It matches the Rfam family "Bacterial small subunit ribosomal RNA", at positions 354 to 796 of the family's 1533-position model. The record is from RNAcentral.
GUAGGGAAUAUUGGGCAAUGGAGGCAACUCUGACCCAGCCAUGCCGCGUGCAGGAAGACGGUCCUCUGGAUUGUAAACUGCUUUUGAAUGGGAAGAACAUACGGUUUGCGAACCGUACUGACGGUACUAUUAGAAUAAGCACCGGCUAACUCCGUGCCAGCAGCCGCGGUAAUACGGAGGGUGCAAGCGUUAUCCGGAUUUAUUGGGUUUAAAGGGUGCGUAGGCGGCCUUAUAAGUCGGUGGUUAAAGGUAGCAGCUUAACUGUUUUACAUGCCAUCGAUACUGUAGGGCUUGAGUGAUUUGGAGGUAGCUAGAAUUCCCUGUGUAGCGGUGAAAUGCAUAGAUACGGGGAGGAAUACCGAUUGCGAAGGCAUGUUACUACGAAUUAACUGACGCUGAGGCACGAAAGCGUGGGGAUCAAACAGGAUUAGAAACCCUGGUAGUCC